Molecule: non-coding RNA, 88 nt
Organism: Gossypium raimondii (Peruvian cotton)
Lineage: Eukaryota; Viridiplantae; Streptophyta; Magnoliopsida; Malvales; Malvaceae
Source: Rfam
GGAGAGAUGGUCGAGUGGUUCAAGGCGUAGCAUUGGAACUGCUAUGUAGACUCUUGUUUACCGAGGGUUAUUAAUCCCUCUUUUUUCA